GAUGAACGCUGGCGGCGUGCCUAAUACAUGCAAGUCGAGCGAACGGACGAGAAGCUUGCUUCUCUGAUGUUAGCGGCGGACGGGUGAGUAACACGUGGAUAACCUACCUAUAAGACUGGGAUAACUUCGGGAAACCGGAGCUAAUACCGGAUAAUAUUUUGAACCGCAUGGUUCAAAAGUGAAAGACGGUCUUGCUGUCACUUAUAGAUGGAUCCGCGCUGCAUUAGCUAGUUGGUAAGGUAACGGCUUACCAAGGCAACGAUGCAUAGCCGACCUGAGAGGGUGAUCGGCCACACUGGAACUGAGACACGGUCCAGACUCCUACGGGAGGCAGCAGUAGGGAAUCUUCCGCAAUGGGCGAAAGCCUGACGGAGCAACGCCACGUGAGUGAUGAAGGUCUUCGGAUCGUAAACCUCUGUUAUUAGGGAAGAACAUAUGUGUAAGUAACUGUGCACAUCUUGACGGUACCUAAUCAGAAAGCCACGGCUAACUACGUG
This 497-nucleotide ribosomal RNA is filed under the name uncultured bacterium. RNAcentral's name for it is "partial 16S ribosomal RNA". It matches the Rfam family "Bacterial small subunit ribosomal RNA", at positions 28 to 507 of the family's 1533-position model. The record is from RNAcentral.